This 2140-nucleotide ribosomal RNA is filed under the name Salmonella enterica subsp. enterica serovar Tarshyne. Its description in RNAcentral is "bacterial LSU rRNA". It matches the Rfam family "Bacterial large subunit ribosomal RNA", at positions 692 to 2812 of the family's 2925-position model. The record is from RNAcentral. Lineage: Bacteria; Pseudomonadati; Pseudomonadota; Gammaproteobacteria; Enterobacterales; Enterobacteriaceae.
GCGUUAAGUUGCAGGGUAUAGACCCGAAACCCGGUGAUCUAGCCAUGGGCAGGUUGAAGGUUGGGUAACACUAACUGGAGGACCGAACCGACUAAUGUUGAAAAAUUAGCGGAUGACCUGUGGCUGGGGGUGAAAGGCCAAUCAAACCGGGAGAUAGCUGGUUCUCCCCGAAAGCUAUUUAGGUAGCGCCUCGUGAAUUCAUCUCCGGGGGUAGAGCACUGUUUCGGCUAGGGGGCCAUCCCGGCUUACCAACCCGAUGCAAACUGCGAAUACCGGAGAAUGUUAUCACGGGAGACACACGGCGGGUGCUAACGUCCGUCGUGAAGAGGGAAACAACCCAGACCGCCAGCUAAGGUCCCAAAGUCAUGGUUAAGUGGGAAACGAUGUGGGAAGGCCCAGACAGCCAGGAUGUUGGCUUAGAAGCAGCCAUCAUUUAAAGAAAGCGUAAUAGCUCACUGGUCGAGUCGGCCUGCGCGGAAGAUGUAACGGGGCUAAACCAUGCACCGAAGCUGCGGCAGCGACACUCAGGUGUUGUUGGGUAGGGGAGCGUUCUGUAAGCCUGUGAAGGUGUGUCGUGAGGCAUGCUGGAGGUAUCAGAAGUGCGAAUGCUGACAUAAGUAACGAUAAAGCGGGUGAAAAGCCCGCUCGCCGGAAGACCAAGGGUUCCUGUCCAACGUUAAUCGGGGCAGGGUGAGUCGACCCCUAAGGCGAGGCCGAAAGGCGUAGUCGAUGGGAAACGGGUUAAUAUUCCCGUACUUGGUGUUACUGCGAAGGGGGGACGGAGAAGGCUAUGUUGGCCGGGCGACGGUUGUCCCGGUUUAAGCGUGUAGGUGUGUGUUCCAGGUAAAUCCGGUUCACUUUAACACUGAGGCGUGACGACGAGGCACUACGGUGCUGAAGCAACAAAUGCCCUGCUUCCAGGAAAAGCCUCUAAGCAUCAGGUAACAUCAAAUCGUACCCCAAACCGACACAGGUGGUCAGGUAGAGAAUACCAAGGCGCUUGAGAGAACUCGGGUGAAGGAACUAGGCAAAAUGGUGCCGUAACUUCGGGAGAAGGCACGCUGACACGUAGGUGAAGUGAUUUACUCACGGAGCUGAAGUCAGUCGAAGAUACCAGCUGGCUGCAACUGUUUAUUAAAAACACAGCACUGUGCAAACACGAAAGUGGACGUAUACGGUGUGACGCCUGCCCGGUGCCGGAAGGUUAAUUGAUGGGGUCAGCGCAAGCGAAGCUCCUGAUCGAAGCCCCGGUAAACGGCGGCCGUAACUAUAACGGUCCUAAGGUAGCGAAAUUCCUUGUCGGGUAAGUUCCGACCUGCACGAAUGGCGUAAUGAUGGCCAGGCUGUCUCCACCCGAGACUCAGUGAAAUUGAACUCGCUGUGAAGAUGCAGUGUACCCGCGGCAAGACGGAAAGACCCCGUGAACCUUUACUAUAGCUUGACACUGAACAUUGAGCCUUGAUGUGUAGGAUAGGUGGGAGGCUUUGAAGUGUGGACGCCAGUCUGCAUGGAGCCGACCUUGAAAUACCACCCUUUAAUGUUUGAUGUUCUAACGUGGACCCGUAAUCCGGGUUGCGGACAGUGUCUGGUGGGUAGUUUGACUGGGGCGGUCUCCUCCUAAAGAGUAACGGAGGAGCACGAAGGUUGGCUAAUCCUGGUCGGACAUCAGGAGGUUAGUGCAAUGGCAUAAGCCAGCUUGACUGCGAGCGUGACGGCGCGAGCAGGUGCGAAAGCAGGUCAUAGUGAUCCGGUGGUUCUGAAUGGAAGGGCCAUCGCUCAACGGAUAAAAGGUACUCCGGGGAUAACAGGCUGAUACCGCCCAAGAGUUCAUAUCGACGGCGGUGUUUGGCACCUCGAUGUCGGCUCAUCACAUCCUGGGGCUGAAGUAGGUCCCAAGGGUAUGGCUGUUCGCCAUUUAAAGUGGUACGCGAGCUGGGUUUAGAACGUCGUGAGACAGUUCGGUCCCUAUCUGCCGUGGGCGCUGGAGAACUGAGGGGGGCUGCUCCUAGUACGAGAGGACCGGAGUGGACGCAUCACUGGUGUUCGGGUUGUCAUGCCAAUGGCACUGCCCGGUAGCUAAAUGCGGAAGAGAUAAGUGCUGAAAGCAUCUAAGCACGAAACUUGCCCCGAGAUGAGUUCU